GGGACACGUGGUAUCCUGUCUGAAUAUGGGGGGACCAUCCUCCAAGGCUAAAUACUCCUGACUGACCGAUAGUGAACCAGUACCGUGAGGGAAAGGCGAAAAGAACCCCGGCGAGGGGAGUGAAAAAGAACCUGAAACCGUGUACGUACAAGCAGUGGGAGCACGCUUAGGCGUGUGACUGCGUACCUUUUGUAUAAUGGGUCAGCGACUUAUAUUCUGUAGCAAGGUUAACCGAAUAGGGGAGCCGAAGGGAAACCGAGUCUUAACUGGGCGUUAAGUUGCAGGGUAUAGACCCGAAACCCGGUGAUCUAGCCAUGGGCAGGUUGAAGGUUGGGUAACACUAACUGGAGGACCGAACCGACUAAUGUUGAAAAAUUAGCGGAUGACUUGUGGCUGGGGGUGAAAGGCCAAUCAAACCGGGAGAUAGCUGGUUCUCCCCGAAAGCUAUUUAGGUAGCGCCUCGUGAAUUCAUCUCCGGGGGUAGAGCACUGUUUCGGCAAGGGGGUCAUCCCGACUUACCAACCCGAUGCAAACUGCGAAUACCGGAGAAUGUUAUCACGGGAGACACACGGCGGGUGCUAACGUCCGUCGUGAAGAGGGAAACAACCCAGACCGCCAGCUAAGGUCCCAAAGUCAUGGUUAAGUGGGAAACGAUGUGGGAAGGCCCAGACAGCCAGGAUGUUGGCUUAGAAGCAGCCAUCAUUUAAAGAAAGCGUAAUAGCUCACUGGUCGAGUCGGCCUGCGCGGAAGAUGUAACGGGGCUAAACCAUGCACCGAAGCUGCGGCAGCGACGCUUAUGCGUUGUUGGGUAGGGGAGCGUUCUGUAAGCCUGCGAAGGUGUGCUGUGAGGCAUGCUGGAGGUAUCAGAAGUGCGAAUGCUGACAUAAGUAACGAUAAAGCGGGUGAAAAGCCCGCUCGCCGGAAGACCAAGGGUUCCUGUCCAACGUUAAUCGGGGCAGGGUGAGUCGACCCCUAAGGCGAGGCCGAAAGGCGUAGUCGAUGGGAAACAGGUUAAUAUUCCUGUACUUGGUGUUACUGCGAAGGGGGGACGGAGAAGGCUAUGUUGGCCGGGCGACGGUUGUCCCGGUUUAAGCGUGUAGGCUGGUUUUCCAGGCAAAUCCGGAAAAUCAAGGCUGAGGCGUGAUGACGAGGCACUACGGUGCUGAAGCAACAAAUGCCCUGCUUCCAGGAAAAGCCUCUAAGCAUCAGGUAACAUCAAAUCGUACCCCAAACCGACACAGGUGGUCAGGUAGAGAAUACCAAGGCGCUUGAGAGAACUCGGGUGAAGGAACUAGGCAAAAUGGUGCCGUAACUUCGGGAGAAGGCACGCUGAUAUGUAGGUGAAGUCCCUCGCGGAUGGAGCUGAAAUCAGUCGAAGAUACCAGCUGGCUGCAACUGUUUAUUAAAAACACAGCACUGUGCAAACACGAAAGUGGACGUAUACGGUGUGACGCCUGCCCGGUGCCGGAAGGUUAAUUGAUGGGGUCAGCGCAAGCGAAGCUCUUGAUCGAAGCCCCGGUAAACGGCGGCCGUAACUAUAACGGUCCUAAGGUAGCGAAAUUCCUUGUCGGGUAAGUUCCGACCUGCACGAAUGGCGUAAUGAUGGCCAGGCUGUCUCCACCCGAGACUCAGUGAAAUUGAACUCGCUGUGAAGAUGCAGUGUACCCGCGGCAAGACGGAAAGACCCCGUGAACCUUUACUAUAGCUUGACACUGAACAUUGAGCCUUGAUGUGUAGGAUAGGUGGGAGGCUUUGAAGUGUGGACGCCAGUCUGCAUGGAGCCGACCUUGAAAUACCACCCUUUAAUGUUUGAUGUUCUAACGUUGACCCGUGAUCCGGGUUGCGGACAGUGUCUGGUGGGUAGUUUGACUGGGGCGGUCUCCUCCUAAAGAGUAACGGAGGAGCACGAAGGUUGGCUAAUCCUGGUCGGACAUCAGGAGGUUAGUGCAAUGGCAUAAGCCAGCUUGACUGCGAGCGUGACGGCGCGAGCAGGUGCGAAAGCAGGUCAUAGUGAUCCGGUGGUUCUGAAUGGAAGGGCCAUCGCUCAACGGAUAAAAGGUACUCCGGGGAUAACAGGCUGAUACCGCCCAAGAGUUCAUAUCGACGGCGGUGUUUGGCACCUCGAUGUCGGCUCAUCACAUCCUGGGGCUGAAGUAGGUCCCAAGGGUAUGGCUGUUCGCCAUUUAAAGUGGUACGCGAGCUGGGUUUAGAACGUCGUGAGACAGUUCGGUCCCUAUCUGCCGUGGGCGCUGGAGAACUGAGGGGGGCUGCUCCUAGUACGAGAGGACCGGAGUGGACGCAUCACUGGUGUUCGGGUUGUCAUGCCAAUGGCACUGCCCGGUAGCUAAAUGCGGAAGAGAUAAGUGCUGAAAGCAUCUAAGCACGAAACUUGCCCCGAGAUGAGUUCUCCCUGACUCCUUGAGAGUCCUGAAGGAACGUUGAAGACGACGACGUUGAUAGGCCGGGUGUGUAAGCGCAGCGAUGCGUUGAGCUAACCGGUACUAAUGAACCGUGAG
RNAcentral lists this ribosomal RNA (2516 nucleotides) under Escherichia coli. Its description in RNAcentral is "partial 23S ribosomal RNA". It matches the Rfam family "Bacterial large subunit ribosomal RNA", at positions 419 to 2915 of the family's 2925-position model. Lineage: Bacteria; Pseudomonadati; Pseudomonadota; Gammaproteobacteria; Enterobacterales; Enterobacteriaceae. The record is from RNAcentral.